Molecule: unclassified non-coding RNA, 402 nt
Filed under: soil metagenome
Description: partial contains 5.8S ribosomal RNA, internal transcribed spacer 2, and large subunit ribosomal RNA
Rfam family: 5.8S ribosomal RNA (bases 1-121)
Source: RNAcentral
GAUGAAGAACGCAGUGAAAUGCGAUAAGUAAUGUGAAUUGCAGAAUUCAGUGAAUCAUCGAAUCUUUGAACGCACCUUGCGCCCUUUGGCCAUUCCGAAGGGCAUGCCUGUUUGAGUAUCAUGAACACCUCAACUCUCAUGGCUCGCCAUGAUGAGCUUGGACUUUGGGGGUCUUGCUGGCCUGUGGUCGGCUCCUCUCAAAUGGAUCAGCUUGCCAGUGUUUGGUGGCAUCACAGGUGUGAUAACUAUCUGCGCUUGUGGUUUUCCAUCAGAUAACCUUCAGUGAUGGAGGUUCGCUGGAGCUCAUAAACGUCUCCCCUAAGCGGGGACAGCCCUUUGAAUGUUUGAUCUCAAAUCAGGUAGGACUACCCGCUGAACUUAAGCAUAUCAAUAAGCGGAGGA